Molecule: ribosomal RNA, 775 nt
Filed under: uncultured Neocallimastigales
Lineage: Eukaryota; Fungi; Neocallimastigomycota; Neocallimastigomycetes; Neocallimastigales
Description: partial large subunit ribosomal RNA
Rfam family: Eukaryotic large subunit ribosomal RNA
Source: RNAcentral
UACUAGAGUAGCACUCGCAUAUCAAUAAGCGGAGGAAAAGAAACUAACAAGGAUUCCCCUAGUAACGGCGAGUGAAGCGGGAAGAGCUCAAAUUUGAAAUCUUAAAGGGUUUCCCUUUACGAAUUGUAGUUUAAAGAAGUGUUUUCUGUUGAGGUUUUGGUAAAAGUUCUUUGGAAUAGGACAUCAUAGAGGGUGAGAAUCCCGUAUUUGACCUUUACUUUCAACUUUGUGAUACACUUUCAAAGAGUCGGAUUGUUUGGGAAUGCAGUCCAAAAUGGGUGGUAAAUUUCAUCUAAAGCUAAAUAUUGGCGAGAGACCGAUAGCGAACAAGUACCGUGAGGGAAAGAUGAAAAGAACUUUGAAAAGAGAGUUAAACAGUACGUGAAAUUGUCAAAAGGGAAGCGUUUGACACCAGUGUUGUUUUUCUGAAAAUCAAUUAAAGAACUGUUUAUGCUAAGCUGUUUAGACUUUAUCAGCUAAUCUGUUUAGUUUUGAGCUUUUCUUUAAUGCACUUUUCAGUUAACAAGUCAACAUCAAUUUCUUUUGCUGUAAAAAAGCUUGAGGAAGGUGGCUUGAGAUUCGUCUUAAGUGUUUAUAGCCUCUUGCCUAUGCAGUCGGAGAGAUUGAGGUCUGCAGCGUAGAUCCUUCGGGGCUAAAUGCAUUUGUGCUAAGUUAUAGCAUUUUAUAGACAACUUGUUGACUAUGAUUUGUCUUGUAGCUUACUCGCUUAUGUUAUUUUACCUACGCUUAGGAUGUUGAGUAGCGACAUACGCAC